AAGUCGUAACAAGGUUUCCGUAGGUGAACCUGCGGAAGGAUCAUUAUCGAGUUUUUGAACGGGUUGUAGCUGGCCUUGUAACAGAGGCAUGUGCACGCCUGGCUCAUCCACUCUCUUAACCCCUGUGCACCAUAUGUAGGAAUGAACGGUGAACGUAUCUGCUUUGCGGGUGCUGAAGCCUUAGUUCUUAUGUUUUACUACAAACGCUUCAGUUUUAGAAUGUUUACUGUGUAUAACACAAAUAUACAACUUUCAGCAACGGAUCUCUUGGCUCUC
RNAcentral lists this unclassified non-coding RNA (276 nucleotides) under fungal sp. RNAcentral's name for it is "partial internal transcribed spacer region". The stretch from base 1 to 46 matches the Rfam family "Eukaryotic small subunit ribosomal RNA", at positions 1786 to 1831 of the family's 1831-position model. Lineage: Eukaryota; Fungi. The record is from RNAcentral.